UGCAAAGGCUCCCACUGACAUCGGGUUACUUGUUAGAAAAUCUUACCGCAUUUGGUGCUCCCGCAUUUGAUGUUUGCAUUUCGAAUGCACACAGCAAUAACACUAAGUGCAUGCAUACGACGAACGUCAUAAAAUCAGUUUUCUUCUAGCAAGUGGUGGACAAGGUGUAGUUCAAGCUCCUGCUAGUACUGUAGACGGCUAAAAGCCUUCAUCAUACUGCUGCGGAUUCGACGUUCAUGAGCCUACGCCGUACAUAAGUUUCGUGUGCUUCCGUUGCUUACAUAUUCAAUUGGAUUGAAACAUGAUAAGUGAAGAACUGGCGCUGCAACUAGAGAACCGUAAGGCAUCCAGGGAAGUUUUAUGCAGCUACUUUUCUAUCCUGUAGACCAAAGCCUAUCUUAGCGGAUCAACUAUCUUAAUGGUCACAGUACCGAAAGAA
This is a long non-coding RNA of Aedes albopictus (Asian tiger mosquito), 439 nucleotides long. RefSeq lists it as uncharacterized. The transcript is spliced from 3 exons. Lineage: Eukaryota; Metazoa; Arthropoda; Insecta; Diptera; Culicidae. The record is from RefSeq and is a predicted model, not a curated record.